UUGAACGCUGGCGGCAGGCCUCACACGUGCAAGUCGCGCGGAUGAAGGGAGCUUGCUCCUGGAUUCAGCGGCGGACGGGUGAGUAAUGCCUAGGAAUCUGCCUGGUAGUGGGGGAUAACGUCCGGAAACGGGCGCUAAUACCGCAUACGUCCUGAGGGAGAAAGUGGGGGAUCUUCGGACCUCACGCUAUCAGAUGAGCCUAGGUCGGAUUAGCUAGUUGGUGGGGUAAAGGCCUACCAAGGCGACGAUCCGUAACUGGUCUGAGAGGAUGAUCAGUCACACUGGAACUGAGACACGGUCCAGACUCCUACGGGAGGCAGCAGUGGGGAAUAUUGGACAAUGGGCGAAAGCCUGAUCCAGCCAUGCCGCGUGUGUGAAGAAGGUCUUCGGAUUGUAAAGCACUUUAAGUUGGGAGGAAGGGCAGUAAGUUAAUACCUUGCUGUUUUGACGUUACCAACAGAAUAAGCACCGGCUAACUUCGUG
This 483-nucleotide ribosomal RNA is filed under the name uncultured bacterium. RNAcentral's name for it is "partial 16S ribosomal RNA". It matches the Rfam family "Bacterial small subunit ribosomal RNA", at positions 30 to 507 of the family's 1533-position model. The record is from RNAcentral.